RNAcentral lists this long non-coding RNA (1377 nucleotides) under Marmota monax (woodchuck). The record is from RNAcentral. Lineage: Eukaryota; Metazoa; Chordata; Mammalia; Rodentia; Sciuridae.
AAAAUGGAAAAUUACCCCAGACUUUGCUCAAUGAAAAAGCUGAAUGAUUCUCAGGAAAUCAGUGGAAUUGGGCAGGCCCACAGCCAUAUCCUUUUUGACGGUGUAAAAAUUCUUCCCAGGAUCCUGCCACAUAAACAUAGCUAUGAGGAAGAUGAGACUCACAGGACAGAACAUGGAAGCACCAUUAAUGCAGACCAACCUGAUUCUUUUCUACCUUUCUUUAGAAUUCUCAGGAUGCAAGUGGGCUGUGUUGUCCACCCUAAAGAGAGCGACCAGUUCAUCUGCCUCUAAGUGUUCUAAAGAUUCUUGGCUAAGAUAUCCUUUUUAAUGAGUGGCACAGACUGGGAUGGUGUGGGAGAAGCUGAGAGGCCUUUGGGUGGACCUUUUACUCCAAGCUGCUUUCCUUCUAUUUGCCAUACUGUCCUAAAUGCUACCAAAUGUGCUCUUUUAAUUGCAUUGACCACGUCCUUUUGAAAAAUAAGAAUUUCCUAGAUUGAGAUUAUUCCAGAACUCUGACUAAUAUUUAAGGGAACUAUGAGAGAGGGGAGAAAGGAGGAAAAGCUCUCUGUUGACUAAUAUGAACAAAUUGUAGGAAAGGCAGGGGUAGUGCCAGACGCCGUAGGAAACUGAAAGCAGAAACUUGGCAUCUGUAGGAUUCAUUCCAACUCCCAAAUAUGUCAGUGUUUCAUUUUAAGUAAAGUCUUUAUAAUUCAGAAUCUGGUCACCAGCAACAAUGGGUUUAUAUUCUUCCACCCUCAAAACUUAGGAGAGAGAUCCUGAAAAUUAAAAAAUAAAAUUCUAAAUUCUUUGGAAAGACUGAUUGACCAGGUAUUUAGCAUAACAUAGAAAAUCCCAUUUAUUCCAUGCAGGGGAAGAUAGAAAAGUGAGUCACUGAAAGGCAAAAAGUUGAAACACACACACACACAUUAAUAUCCAUCAUAGGUUUUAUUAACCUACAACACUUCAAAAGCAUAUUAUUUUAUCCAAUCCAUUCUCUAGAUAAGACUAGUGAACAGAAGAAAAGAUACUUACUGAUAGGGAGGAGGAAAGGGGAUAAGGAAGAGCAUAAUUUUAGUCAGGAUUUAUGUAUAUUUACAAUCAUAUUUAUAAUAGAUUAUAAUUUAUGUGACUUUCAUUCAAAUAUAUAUGCAAAUCUCGUGUCACACCAUAUGACAUAAUUUUUGUUUAUAAAAAAUAUAUUUACUGUUGUCAUGGUCUAUAAGAAGGUGAACGUUUUAGAUGACAGAACUGCAACUGCCAUUUUAAGAAUGCCAGGAGUGGAACAAGGGUUGGGCGGAGUGGGGUAGUUCCAGAAAGAAAAAGAGUCAGCAAAGUGAGAGCCUCCAAAAAAUAAAUUUCAAAAUCAUCAGUUUCGCC